RNAcentral lists this non-coding RNA (626 nucleotides) under Ixodes scapularis (black-legged tick). Its description in RNAcentral is "Eukaryotic large subunit ribosomal RNA". It matches the Rfam family "Eukaryotic large subunit ribosomal RNA", at positions 1765 to 2290 of the family's 3401-position model. The record is from Rfam by way of RNAcentral. Lineage: Eukaryota; Metazoa; Arthropoda; Arachnida; Ixodida; Ixodidae.
AGUGCGGUUCUUGCGCUGUCCGGUGCGCUCGCGUCGGCCCUUGAAAAUCCGAGUGAGGGAGUGUGAUUUUCGUGCCGGACCGUACCCACAUCCGCAGCAGGUCUCCAAGGUGAACAGCCUCUAGUCGAUGGACCAAUGUAGGUAAGGGAAGUCGGCAAAACGGAUCCGUAACCUUGGGAUAAGGAUUGGCUCUGAGGACUGAGCCGGUCGGGCUGGGGACCUGAAGCAGGAACGGCACUGCACCGGGACUGGGCGGGGCUCGCCGUUGACGCGGCGCGGCCAAGCCCGGACCAGCGUCGGGACCUUCCUGUGGAAAGCCUCAGCUGCGCGGCGUCCGAGGGCUUCGUGCCCAAAGUGCUAUGCUUCGGCCGGCAAAAAACAGUCAACUCAGAACUGGCACGGACCGGGGGAAUCCGACUGUCUAAUUAAAACAAAGCAUUGCGAUGGCCGCUGGUCGGUGUUGACGCAAUGUGAUUUCUGCCCAGUGCUCUGAAUGUCAACGUGAAGAGAUUCAUCAAAGCGCGGGUAAACGGCGGGAGUAAGUAUGACUCUCUAGAAAAGUAAGCGAGAUUUCCAGUAUUCCGCUUGAAAGCGCUGCCCGUCGCAAAUGCAGUAGGGUAAAUUGU